GGUUAAGCGACUAAGCGUACACGGUGGAUGCCCUGGCAGUCAGAGGCGAUGAAGGACGUGCUAAUCUGCGAUAAGCGUCGGUAAGGUGAUAUGAACCGUUAUAACCGGCGAUUUCCGAAUGGGGAAACCCAGUGUGAUUCGUCACACUAUCAUUAACUGAAUCCAUAGGUUAAUGAGGCGAACCGGGGGAACUGAAACAUCUAAGUACCCCGAGGAAAAGAAAUCAACCGAGAUUCCCCCAGUAGCGGCGAGCGAACGGGGAGCAGCCCAGAGCCUGAAUCAGUGUGUGUGUUAGUGGAAGCGUCUGGAAAGGCGCGCGAUACAGGGUGACAGCCCCGUACACAAAAAUGCACAUGCUGUGAGCUCGAUGAGUAGGGCGGGACACGUGGUAUCCUGUCUGAAUAUGGGGGGACCAUCCUCCAAGGCUAAAUACUCCUGACUGACCGAUAGUGAACCAGUACCGUGAGGGAAAGGCGAAAAGAACCCCGGCGAGGGGAGUGAAAAAGAACCUGAAACCGUGUACGUACAAGCAGUGGGAGCACGCUUAGGCGUGUGACUGCGUACCUUUUGUAUAAUGGGUCAGCGACUUAUAUUCUGUAGCAAGGUUAACCGAAUAGGGGAGCCGAAGGGAAACCGAGUCUUAACUGGGCGUUAAGUUGCAGGGUAUAGACCCGAAACCCGGUGAUCUAGCCAUGGGCAGGUUGAAGGUUGGGUAACACUAACUGGAGGACCGAACCGACUAAUGUUGAAAAAUUAGCGGAUGACUUGUGGCUGGGGGUGAAAGGCCAAUCAAACCGGGAGAUAGCUGGUUCUCCCCGAAAGCUAUUUAGGUAGCGCCUCGUGAAUUCAUCUCCGGGGGUAGAGCACUGUUUCGGCAAGGGGGUCAUCCCGACUUACCAACCCGAUGCAAACUGCGAAUACCGGAGAAUGUUAUCACGGGAGACACACGGCGGGUGCUAACGUCCGUCGUGAAGAGGGAAACAACCCAGACCGCCAGCUAAGGUCCCAAAGUCAUGGUUAAGUGGGAAACGAUGUGGGAAGGCCCAGACAGCCAGGAUGUUGGCUUAGAAGCAGCCAUCAUUUAAAGAAAGCGUAAUAGCUCACUGGUCGAGUCGGCCUGCGCGGAAGAUGUAACGGGGCUAAACCAUGCACCGAAGCUGCGGCAGCGACGCUGAUGCGUUGUUGGGUAGGGGAGCGUUCUGUAAGCCUGCGAAGGUGUGCUGUGAGGCAUGCUGGAGGUAUCAGAAGUGCGAAUGCUGACAUAAGUAACGAUAAAGCGGGUGAAAAGCCCGCUCGCCGGAAGACCAAGGGUUCCUGUCCAACGUUAAUCGGGGCAGGGUGAGUCGACCCCUAAGGCGAGGCCGAAAGGCGUAGUCGAUGGGAAACAGGUUAAUAUUCCUGUACUUGGUGUUACUGCGAAGGGGGGACGGAGAAGGCUAUGUUGGCCGGGCGACGGUUGUCCCGGUUUAAGCGUGUAGGCUGGUUUUCCAGGCAAAUCCGGAAAAUCAAGGCUGAGGCGUGAUGACGAGGCACUACGGUGCUGAAGCAACAAAUGCCCUGCUUCCAGGAAAAGCCUCUAAGCAUCAGGUAACAUCAAAUCGUACCCCAAACCGACACAGGUGGUCAGGUAGAGAAUACCAAGGCGCUUGAGAGAACUCGGGUGAAGGAACUAGGCAAAAUGGUGCCGUAACUUCGGGAGAAGGCACGCUGAUAUGUAGGUGAAGCGACUUGCUCGUGGAGCUGAAAUCAGUCGAAGAUACCAGCUGGCUGCAACUGUUUAUUAAAAACACAGCACUGUGCAAACACGAAAGUGGACGUAUACGGUGUGACGCCUGCCCGGUGCCGGAAGGUUAAUUGAUGGGGUCAGCGCAAGCGAAGCUCUUGAUCGAAGCCCCGGUAAACGGCGGCCGUAACUAUAACGGUCCUAAGGUAGCGAAAUUCCUUGUCGGGUAAGUUCCGACCUGCACGAAUGGCGUAAUGAUGGCCAGGCUGUCUCCACCCGAGACUCAGUGAAAUUGAACUCGCUGUGAAGAUGCAGUGUACCCGCGGCAAGACGGAAAGACCCCGUGAACCUUUACUAUAGCUUGACACUGAACAUUGAGCCUUGAUGUGUAGGAUAGGUGGGAGGCUUUGAAGUGUGGACGCCAGUCUGCAUGGAGCCGACCUUGAAAUACCACCCUUUAAUGUUUGAUGUUCUAACGUUGACCCGUGAUCCGGGUUGCGGACAGUGUCUGGUGGGUAGUUUGACUGGGGCGGUCUCCUCCUAAAGAGUAACGGAGGAGCACGAAGGUUGGCUAAUCCUGGUCGGACAUCAGGAGGUUAGUGCAAUGGCAUAAGCCAGCUUGACUGCGAGCGUGACGGCGCGAGCAGGUGCGAAAGCAGGUCAUAGUGAUCCGGUGGUUCUGAAUGGAAGGGCCAUCGCUCAACGGAUAAAAGGUACUCCGGGGAUAACAGGCUGAUACCGCCCAAGAGUUCAUAUCGACGGCGGUGUUUGGCACCUCGAUGUCGGCUCAUCACAUCCUGGGGCUGAAGUAGGUCCCAAGGGUAUGGCUGUUCGCCAUUUAAAGUGGUACGCGAGCUGGGUUUAGAACGUCGUGAGACAGUUCGGUCCCUAUCUGCCGUGGGCGCUGGAGAAUUGAGGGGGGCUGCUCCUAGUACGAGAGGACCGGAGUGGACGCAUCACUGGUGUUCGGGUUGUCAUGCCAAUGGCACUGCCCGGUAGCUAAAUGCGGAAGAGAUAAGUGCUGAAAGCAUCUAAGCACGAAACUUGCCCCGAGAUGAGUUCUCCCUGACUCCUUGAGAGUCCUGAAGGAACGUUGAAGACGACGACGUUGAUAGGCCGGGUGUGUAAGCGCAGCGAUGCGUUGAGCUAACCGGUACUAAUGAACCGUGAGGCUUAACCUU
Molecule: ribosomal RNA, 2904 nt
Filed under: Escherichia coli
Lineage: Bacteria; Pseudomonadati; Pseudomonadota; Gammaproteobacteria; Enterobacterales; Enterobacteriaceae
Description: 23S ribosomal RNA
Rfam family: Bacterial large subunit ribosomal RNA
Source: RNAcentral